Long non-coding RNA from Mus musculus (house mouse), 280 nucleotides. RefSeq annotates it as predicted gene, 42011. Lineage: Eukaryota; Metazoa; Chordata; Mammalia; Rodentia; Muridae. The record is from RefSeq and is a predicted model, not a curated record. The transcript has 3 exons.
GAGAGUCCUACAGCAAGACGCACACAGGUGUGUUGAGGUGCUGUGCCAUGCAAGGCCCACCUGCCCAGGGAUGGCAACACCCACAGGGAGCUGGGCCCUCGUCGAUCAUUAAUCCAGAAAACACCCCACAGACGGACGUGCCCAGAGACCAGCCUGACAGAGACAUCUUCUCAGGUUGGUAUCUUUCGGAGGAUCCCGCAACUCGAAGACAGAAAGGGGUUGAGAUCUGACACCUGUGCCGUCUUUUUUCUUGCCCAGCGAGCUUCUUAAAUAAACACAU